This 321-nucleotide ribosomal RNA is filed under the name Escherichia coli. RNAcentral describes it as "partial 23S ribosomal RNA". It matches the Rfam family "Bacterial large subunit ribosomal RNA", at positions 2093 to 2413 of the family's 2925-position model. Lineage: Bacteria; Pseudomonadati; Pseudomonadota; Gammaproteobacteria; Enterobacterales; Enterobacteriaceae. The record is from RNAcentral.
GUGGAGCUUUACUGUAGCCUGAUAUUGAAAUUCGGCACAGCUUGUACAGGAUAGGUAGGAGCCUUUGAAACGUGAGCGCUAGCUUACGUGGAGGCGCUGGUGGGAUACUACCCUAGCUGUGUUGGCUUUCUAACCCGCACCACUUAUCGUGGUGGGAGACAGUGUCAGGCGGGCAGUUUGACUGGGGCGGUCGCCUCCUAAAAGGUAACGGAGGCGCUCAAAGGUUCCCUCAGAAUGGUUGGAAAGCAUUCAUAGAGUGUAAAGGCAUAAGGGAGCUUGACUGCGAGACCUACAAGUCAAGCAGGGUCGAAAGACGGACUU